This 915-nucleotide ribosomal RNA is filed under the name uncultured Bacteroidota bacterium. RNAcentral's name for it is "bacterial SSU rRNA". It matches the Rfam family "Bacterial small subunit ribosomal RNA", at positions 11 to 917 of the family's 1533-position model. The record is from RNAcentral. Lineage: Bacteria; Pseudomonadati; Bacteroidota.
CUUUGAUUCUGGCUCAGGAUGAACGCUAGCGACAGGCUUAACACAUGCAAGUCGAGGGGCAGCAGGGGAGUAGCAAUACUCCUGCUGGCGACCGGCGCACGGGUGAGUAACACGUAUGCAACCUGCCCUUGUCAGGGGGAUAAGCGGGAGAAAUUCCGUCUAAUACCGCAUAAUACCGAGGAGAGGCAUCUCUCAUUGGUCAAAGAUUUAUCGGACAAGGAUGGGCAUGCGGCGCAUUAGUUAGUUGGCGGUGUAACGGACCACCAAGACGACGAUGCGUAGGGGUUCUGAGAGGAAGGUCCCCCACAUUGGUACUGAGACACGGACCAAACUCCUACGGGAGGCAGCAGUGAGGAAUAUUGGUCAAUGGGCGCGAGCCUGAACCAGCCAAGUCGCGUGAGGGAAGACGGUCCUAAGGAUUGUAAACCUCUUUUGCCAGGGAGCAAGGAGCGCCACGUGUGGCGCGGCGAGAGUACCUGAAGAAAAAGCAUCGGCUAACUCCGUGCCAGCAGCCGCGGUAAUACGGAGGAUGCGAGCGUUAUCCGGAUUUAUUGGGUUUAAAGGGUGCGCAGGCCGACUGGCAAGUCAGCGGUAAAAUUGAGGGGCUCAACCCCUUCGAGCCGUUGAAACUGUCAGUCUUGAGUGAGCGAGAAGUAUGCGGAAUGCGUGGUGUAGCGGUGAAAUGCAUAGAUAUCACGCAGAACUCCGAUUGCGAAGGCAGCAUACCGGCGCUCAACUGACGCUCAUGCACGAAAGCGUGGGUAUCGAACAGGAUUAGAUACCCUGGUAGUCCACGCAGUAAACGAUGAAUACUAACUGUUCGGGCCGAUUGAGGCCUGAGUGGUAAAGCGAAAGCGUUAAGUAUUCCACCUGGGGAGUACGCCGGCAACGGUGCAACUCAAAGGAAUUGACGGA